GGGAGCAGCCCAGAGUCAACAUCAAUAUUUACCGCAGGAGAAAGAUCUGGAAAGGCCGGCAAUAAAGGGUGAUAGCCCCGUAUCUGAAGCGGUAAGUGUUGUGAACUCGAAGAGUAAGGCGGGACACGUGUUAUCCUGUCUGAAUAUGGGGGACCAUCCUCCAAGGCUAAAUACUCCUGACUGACCGAUAGUGAACCAGUACCGUGAGGGAAAGGCGAAAAGAACCCCGGCGAGGGGAGUGAAAUAGAACCUGAAACCGUGUACGUACAAGCAGUAGGAGCACCCGAAAAGGUGUGACUGCGUACCUUUUGUAUAAUGGGUCAGCGACUUAUAUUCUGUAGCAAGGUUAACCGCAUAGGGGAGCCGUAGGGAAACCGAGUCUUAACUGGGCGUUAAGUUGCAGGGUAUAGACCCGAAACCCGGUGAUCUAGCCAUGGGCAGGUUGAAGGUUGGGUAACACUAACUGGAG
This 469-nucleotide ribosomal RNA is filed under the name Arsenophonus endosymbiont of Bemisia tabaci. RNAcentral describes it as "bacterial LSU rRNA". It matches the Rfam family "Bacterial large subunit ribosomal RNA", at positions 293 to 771 of the family's 2925-position model. Lineage: Bacteria; Pseudomonadati; Pseudomonadota; Gammaproteobacteria; Enterobacterales; Morganellaceae. The record is from RNAcentral.